GGAGGGAUGGCCGAGUGGGAAGGCACCGGUUUGCUAAGCCGUGGUCUGGUACGCCAGCGCGGGUUCGAACCCCGCUCCCUCCG
Molecule: transfer RNA, 83 nt
Filed under: Myxococcales bacterium
Lineage: Bacteria; Pseudomonadati; Myxococcota; Myxococcia; Myxococcales
Description: tRNA-Ser
Rfam family: tRNA
About the family: Transfer RNA (tRNA) molecules are approximately 80 nucleotides in length.
Source: RNAcentral